Molecule: ribosomal RNA, 406 nt
Filed under: uncultured bacterium
Lineage: Bacteria
Description: bacterial SSU rRNA
Rfam family: Bacterial small subunit ribosomal RNA
Source: RNAcentral
GUGAGGAAUAUUGGGCAAUGGGGGCAACCCUGACCCAGCCAUGCCGCGUGAGUGAAGAAGGUUUUCGGAUUGUAAAGCUCUUUCGGAUGUGACGAUGAUGACGGUAGCAUCUAAAGAAGCCCCGGCAAACUUCGUGCCAGCAGCCGCGGUAAUACGAAGGGGGCAAGCGUUGUUCGGAAUUACUGGGCGUAAAGGGUGUGUAGGCGGUUAUGUAAGAUAGCGGUGAAAUGCCGGGGCUCAACCUCGGAAUUGCCUUUAUGACUAUAUAACUAGAAUAAUGGAGAGGAUAUCGGAAUACCCAGUGUAGAGGUGAAAUUCGUAGAUAUUGGGUAGAACACCAGUGGCGAAGGCGGGUAUCUGGCCAUUUAUUGACGCUGAGGCACGAAAGCAUGGGGAUCAAACAGGA